GACAGCUGUGCCCGGUGCUUUUGUAACCAUAACCCCACGCCGCAGGUUUGCUGAUGAAAAUCCAACGACCGGCAAUGCGGUACGGAAGGGAGAAGGCUGCUCAGCAUCCGUGUUCUCCCAGAGCGGAGUGCUGAGGGGUUUUUCCAUCUCACCUUCCUGACGGCCACGGCAAAUUCCAAGCACUCCCGAGCGCUGCCGGCUCGCUGCAGCGCAGAACGCUCGGAGCCACGCGUGCUCUCAGUGAUGCGCCCCUUCCGAAACGCGCCCGAGACCUCCGGGCGCAGCCCCUUUUCCACUAGAGGACAGUGCCACACCGGGAAGGACAGCCGUGCCCUCGGUGAUGCCCUCAGCCUGCAAUUCAGGGCUCUCUUUGAGCCAGAUCUGUUGAGCAGAACAGCAGCAAAAGCAAGAAGCAAACAGCCCGUAGCAAGGAACAAAGGGAAGAGGAAGGCUGGAGGGUCCCGUCCGGCUGUUGCAGCCCUUUUGCUCUGUCUCUGCACAAAGACAUUUAACAGCCACGUGGGAAAGGUUUCCUCAUGGGGCCAUCAUUACUGCCCAAACCUGGGAUGUGUUGCUGGGUCUCGGCUUCCCAUUGGCAAACCUCUUCUCUGGCAACGUGCAGCAGGAUCCCAAAAGGAACCAAAGGUUGAACUCCGGGCAGCAGCCUGCAGUGACCUGACCAGCAGGCAGCACACUGUGUGCAGCCGUGUGCUUUAUCACCUUCCCUUCGUACACAUCCCACGUCGGGAGGGGAUUAAGCAGCAUUAACUGCCUGCCCAGGGCUCCAAUCUGCUGGAGGAUCCAGAGAAGGGGAACGGGUCGGCUUGGCUUGGUCCCAAGCAAAGGACAAAGGGAAGGGCUCAUUGCGUUGUGCCAGCUGCUGCCUGCUCCCAAACGAGCCGUGGUGGGGGGACGGCAGCACUGCAGCCUUGAGAAGACAGCCUGGUGGGAUGAGCCUACAGCGUGGGGUGGUAACCCCAAAGCCACCCGUUGCCAAAGGGUGAAGCUGAAUCUCCCCAUUCACAUCCAUCAGGCUGCUCCCCUGAGUGAUCAUCCCAGCAUCUGCUGUGCUUUGUCUUCACACCUCCUUCCAGCCCAGCAGGCCCUGCAGCCAUGGCAGUGCUCAGAGCACAGCAACAUACUGUGCAUCCCAAGAACUGAGACCUGCAGCAGGAAGCCAGCAAACAAAGCCAUCUCCCCAAUGCUGUAACCCCAUCAGCACUGCUCCAUCGCCAUGCCCACAGCUGUUCCACCAGGGGAAGCAGGCAGCAAAUUUGGAGAGCAGCUCUAUGCUUCAUGUGCAGGAAGAGUAGCACAGGGAGGAGGCAGAUCAUUAGGGCUACGUUUCCUAGGAGAUUUUCACACACUUAAAUGUGAGGAGGGGGGGGAGAAUAAGGCAUGAACGUAUUGUGCAGGCAGAAGGUAAAAAUCCCACUGGCACUUCAGAUCUGCUGAGCUAAACUACUGGUGGGCCACCACAGUGCACCGUAAUUGGGCUUAUUGUGUCCUCUUCUCCACGUCACAUGCACAGAAUGACAGCAGGAGAGCAAAGCACGUUGCUCAGAUGCUGAACAGCACAUCCCACAGGAGUUCCAGCAGCCAGGUCCUUGCUUACAACAUCUUCAAGGCCCAUAGUUGGCCACCCAACAGCACAGGGGAGGUUUAGGUUGGAUAUGAGGAGGAAGUUUUUCACCCAGAGAGUGGUGACGCACUGAACAGGUUGCCCAAGGAGGCUGUGGAUGCCCCAUCCCUGCAGGCAUUCAAGGCCAGGCUGGAUGUGGCUCUGGGCAGCCUGGGCUGCUGGUUGGCGACCCUGCACAUAGCAGGGGGUUGGAACUAGUGAUCACUGUGGGCCUUUUCAAUUCAGGGCAUUCCAUGAUGCUAUGAUUCGGUGAUAAUGCCAAAAGCAGUGAUAGCGAGGCAGGUGGGAUACCCAGCAUCACCUGUUUUAGCUGAAGGAAACACACUGACCUCAAUAGCAGUCACUUCAACAAGACAUGGGCUCAUGGAAGCAAUACAUAACCCCAAACAAAUUUCCCCUCUGUGUGGGUAUAACCCGAGCCUGAUUAUCAAGCAGGCAAGAACAGCCUUUAAUCACGAAGCCUUGAACUUUGCUUUAGCAGGGAGAGCAUGGAUCACUGCAGACAUCCUGCCUGUUAUUCAUCAUCUCCUAAUACACAUCCUAAAGCAGCUGCUCCUCUGCUUUCAUCGUCCUGAUGGAUGCUUCUCACCUGGGAGGCAAUGGGCUCCCAAUGGCUGCAGUGCUUACAUUGGGAGAGAAGGGAAAACCAGCAGAGAGAGAGCCUGGGGUCACAAAGGGGGUCUCAGUCAUUGCCUUACACUGAAUUAAACACAUCCUAAAGCCUCUGCUCUCCUUCAUCUGCAUCAGAGUUCCAUUCCAGCACCUGCAUCAGCCCUGGGUUCAGUGCGGGUGCUGCAGUUGCCCAUCCAUGCCAUGGAUGCAGGUUUGCUAGCAGGGUUUCUCAUGGGAGGAAACACCUCCCGUUCCUGCAGGCUGCAGAGAAUGAGAAAUCACACACACAGAUCAGAUUCCCACUGUAGGGAGCAGUGCUCAGCACCUGCCCCACCUGCUUACAGGGGGACUUCGGCACGGAGAUGUCCUACAGCGGCAUCAGGAGGGGGAAAAACACCACAAAUAAAUGGAAAAGAGAAAAGCAGCCACCCCAAACCAUCAGCUUCCAGCCUCGAAAUGGAAUCUUGUGGGUUUUUAUUAUUGAUUUAAG
Long non-coding RNA from Gallus gallus (chicken), 2744 nucleotides. Lineage: Eukaryota; Metazoa; Chordata; Aves; Galliformes; Phasianidae. The record is from Ensembl.